GAUGAAGAACGUAGCCAAAUGCGAUAAGUAAUGUGAAUUGCAGAAUUCAGUGAAUCAUCGAAUCUUUGAACGCACAUUGCGCCCUCUGGUAUUCCGGGGGGCAUGCCUGUUCGAGCGUCAUUAUAACCACUCAAGCUCUCGCUUGGUAUUGGGGUUCGCGGUUUCGCGGCCCCUAAAAUCAGUGGCGGUGCCUGUCGGCUCUACGCGUAGUAAUACUUCUCGCGAUUGAGUUCGAUAGGUCUACUUGCCAGUAACCCCCAAUUUUUACAGGUUGACCUCGGAUCAGGUAGGGAUACCCGCUGAACUUAAGCAUAUCAAUAAGCGGAGGA
RNAcentral lists this unclassified non-coding RNA (329 nucleotides) under soil metagenome. RNAcentral's name for it is "partial contains 5.8S ribosomal RNA, internal transcribed spacer 2, and large subunit ribosomal RNA". The stretch from base 1 to 120 matches the Rfam family "5.8S ribosomal RNA", at positions 35 to 154 of the family's 154-position model. The record is from RNAcentral.